GCCAUGCUAGUUGCACGAGUUCAUACUCGUGGCGAAAAGCUCAGUAACACGUGGCCAAACUACCCUACAGAGAACGAUAACCUCGGGAAACUGAGGCUAAUAGUUCAUACGGGAGUCAUGCUGGAAUGCCGACUCCCCGAAACGCUCAGGCGCUGUAGGAUGUGGCUGCGGCCGAUUAGGUAGACGGUGGGGUAACGGCCCACCGUGCCGAUAAUCGGUACGGGUUGUGAGAGCAAGAGCCCGGAGACGGAAUCUGAGACAAGAUUCCGGGCCCUACGGGGCGCAGCAGGCGCGAAACCUUUACACUGCACGCAAGUGCGAUAAGGGGACCCCAAGUGCGAGGGCAUAUAGUCCUCGCUUUUCUCGACUGUAAGGCGGUCGUGGAAUAAGAGCUGGGCAAGACCGGUGCCAGCCGCCGCGGUAAUACCGGCAGCUCAAGUGAUGACCGAUAUUAUUGGGCCUAAAGCGUCCGUAGCCGGCCAUGAAGGUUCAUCGGGAAAUCCGCCAGCUCAACUGGCGGGCGUCCGGUGAAAACCACAUGGCUUGGGACCGGAAGGCUCGAGGGGUACGUCCGGGGUAGGAGUGAAAUCCCGUAAUCCUGGACGGACCACCGAUGGCGAAAGCACCUCGAGAAGACGGAUCCGACGGUGAGGGACGAAAGCUAGGGUCUCGAACCGGAUUAGAUACCCGGGUAGUCCUAGCUGUAAACGAUGCUCGCUAGGUGUGACACAGGCUACGAGCCUGUGUUGUGCCGUAGGGAAGCCGAGAAGCGAGCCGCCUGGGAAGUACGUCCGCAAGGAUGAAACUUAAAGGAAUUGGCGGGGGAGCACUACAACCGGAGGAGCCUGC
RNAcentral lists this ribosomal RNA (849 nucleotides) under Haloferax sp. VKMM011. Its description in RNAcentral is "bacterial SSU rRNA". It matches the Rfam family "Archaeal small subunit ribosomal RNA", at positions 48 to 898 of the family's 1478-position model. Lineage: Archaea; Methanobacteriati; Methanobacteriota; Halobacteria; Halobacteriales; Haloferacaceae. The record is from RNAcentral.